CCUCCUCUUCUCAUCUCUUCUCUCCUUGCUCCCUCCCGUCUCUUCUCACCGGCGAGACAAAUCGCCGCCUAUCUCUCGUCUCUCCAAUCAACAUCAACAGCCGGCGAGGAGAGCAACAUCUCCGGCCAACUGACCCCGACAUCGAUCCACUGCCCUUCUCCUUUAAUUGAAGGCAACUGAUGAAGCUCAACAUCUAAAAAAGUUGAUACAAGACUAUAUUGCUUCUUUCAUCAAAGUAGGAGAUAAGGAAAAAGAAUUGGGACGCACUCCCAUUGAACCAGAGGUUUUCAAAAAGACUCAUGUCAGGAAGAAAGAAAAUGAGUCGGAUCCGGAUGUGUGGGUGGAUGAAAGGGCCGAACGAACUUUUGUAAGUUAUUUAAUAUGAAUAAUAUAUAUCAAUAGUGAAUAUAUUUAUGAUAUGUAUAUAUAUUGAUGUCAAUAUUUAUAUUUAAUAUGCAAAAUGACUUUCAUAAGUACGUCGCUGAGAAUCUAGAUAGUUCGGUUCAAUUGACACCUGAACUGUCCACUCAGAUUUGGAAAGAAAAAGUGGUAGGGAGGACACACAAGGGUAGAUGCUAUGGUCUAGGCUCUCGCAAUGAUGUUAGACUCCUUCAGUCAGGCUUAGAAGGUAUUAGAUCGUCACGUCAAGCUGA
Long non-coding RNA from Solanum stenotomum, 653 nucleotides. RefSeq lists it as uncharacterized. The record is from RefSeq and is a predicted model, not a curated record. NCBI's taxonomy places the organism in Eukaryota, Viridiplantae, Streptophyta, Magnoliopsida, Solanales, Solanaceae. The transcript has 3 exons.